Paramuricea clavata is the source of this 372-nucleotide non-coding RNA. NCBI's taxonomy places the organism in Eukaryota, Metazoa, Cnidaria, Anthozoa, Malacalcyonacea, Plexauridae. The record is from the annotation of a GenBank genome assembly.
AACACACCAAAACUGAUAUUACUGUAAAAACUAAAAGGAAAUGUAGGAUUAUCAUAGCUUGAUAGAAUAAUUAUAGUUUAGAAUCACAAUUAUGACAUUUUUAUAUUACUUCGUAACUUAUGACAGGUUUUAAUCUAUUUGUAUAAUAUGGAAAUUGUAUAAAGUUAUGAACUUUUACAAUUACACAGAAUAAUAAACUAUUAAAAGCCAAUACAUACAUUCAAACACUCGAAUAAUUCAUAAGCUUAUUGGCAAAUCAUGUCAACUUAUUGAAUUGUGUCAACGCUAAUAUGUCACGUGAAGAGGCUUUAUACCUGAUAAAACUCAACUUUAUAAUCAUCUUUAUUUGUAUUCUUUAUAUAAAAGUCCAUC